Molecule: ribosomal RNA, 690 nt
Filed under: uncultured Bacteroidota bacterium
Lineage: Bacteria; Pseudomonadati; Bacteroidota
Description: bacterial SSU rRNA
Rfam family: Bacterial small subunit ribosomal RNA
Source: RNAcentral
UCGAGGGGUAGGGUAGCAAUACCUGAGACCGGCGCACGGGUGCGUAACGCGUAUGCAAUCUACCUUUUACAGGGGAAUAGCCCAGAGAAAUUUGGAUUAAUGCCCCAUGGUAUUAUAGGAUGGCAUCAUUUUAUAAUUAAAGUUCCAACGGUAAAAGAUGAGCAUGCGUCCCAUUAGUUAGUUGGUAAGGUAACGGCUUACCAAGACUAUGAUGGGUAGGGGUCCUGAGAGGGAGAUCCCCCACACUGGUACUGAGACACGGACCAGACUCCUACGGGAGGCAGCAGUGAGGAAUAUUGGACAAUGGGCGCAAGCCUGAUCCAGCCAUGCCGCGUGCAGGAAGAAGCAUCUAUGGUGUGUAAACUGCUUUUGUACGGGAAGAAACACUCCUUCGUGAAGGAGCUUGACGGUACCGUAAGAAUAAGGAUCGGCUAACUCCGUGCCAGCAGCCGCGGUAAUACGGAGGAUCCAAGCGUUAUCCGGAAUCAUUGGGUUUAAAGGGUCCGUAGGCGGUUUAAUAAGUCAGUGGUGAAAUCUGGUCGCUCAACGAUCAAACGGCCAUUGAUACUGUUAGACUUGAAUUACAAGGAAGUAACUAGAAUAUGUAGUGUAGCGGUGAAAUGCUUAGAUAUUACAUGGAAUACCAAUUGCGAAGGCAGGUUACUACUUGUGGAUUGACGCUGAUGGACG